Molecule: transfer RNA, 78 nt
Filed under: Actinomycetes bacterium
Lineage: Bacteria; Bacillati; Actinomycetota; Actinomycetes
Description: Actinobacteria bacterium tRNA-Pro
Rfam family: tRNA
About the family: Transfer RNA (tRNA) molecules are approximately 80 nucleotides in length. Their secondary structure includes four short double-helical elements and three loops (D, anti-codon, and T loops).
Source: RNAcentral
CGGGGCGUAGCUCAGCCUGGUUAGAGCGCUGCCUUUGGGAGGCAGAGGGCGCGAGUUCGAAUCUCGCCGCCCCGACUA